Acanthosepion pharaonis is the source of this 111-nucleotide non-coding RNA. Lineage: Eukaryota; Metazoa; Mollusca; Cephalopoda; Sepiida; Sepiidae. The record is from the annotation of a GenBank genome assembly.
AUGGCUAUAUCGCUUUGAAACAGCAUUUCUCGUCCAAUCAUUGAAGUUAAGCAACGUUGAGCCUAGUCAGUACUUAUAUGGGUAACCGUUUGGGAAUACUAGGUGCUGUAA